RNAcentral lists this ribosomal RNA (506 nucleotides) under uncultured bacterium. RNAcentral's name for it is "partial 16S ribosomal RNA". It matches the Rfam family "Bacterial small subunit ribosomal RNA", at positions 29 to 523 of the family's 1533-position model. The record is from RNAcentral.
AGUGAACGCUGGCGGUAGGCCUAACACAUGCAAGUCGAACGGCAGCACAGAGGAGCUUGCUCCUUGGGUGGCGAGUGGCGGACGGGUGAGGAAUACAUCGGAAUCUACUCUGUCGUGGGGGAUAACGUAGGGAAACUUACGCUAAUACCGCAUACGACCUACGGGUGAAAGCAGGGGACCUUCGGGCCUUGCGCGAUUGAAUGAGCAGAUGUCGGAUUAGCUAGUUGGCGGGGUAAAGGCCCACCAAGGCGACGAUCCGUAGCUGGUCUGAGAGGAUGAUCGGCCACACUGGAACUGAGACACGGUCCAGACUCCUACGGGAGGCAGCAGUGGGGAAUAUUGGACAAUGGGCGCAAGCCUGAUCCAGCCAUACCGCGUGGGUGAAGAAGGCCUUCGGGUUGUAAAGCCCUUUUGUUGGGAAAGAAAUCCAGCUGGCUAAUACCCGGUUGGGAUGACGGUACCCAAAGAAUAAGCACCGGCUAACUUCGUGCCAGCCGCCGCAGUAA